RNAcentral lists this ribosomal RNA (433 nucleotides) under uncultured bacterium. RNAcentral's name for it is "partial 16S ribosomal RNA". It matches the Rfam family "Bacterial small subunit ribosomal RNA", at positions 29 to 507 of the family's 1533-position model. The record is from RNAcentral.
AACGAACGCUGGCGGCAUGCCUAACACAUGCAAGUCGAACGAGACCUUCGGGUCUAGUGGCGCACGGGUGCGUAACGCGUGGGAACCUGCCCUUAGGUUCGGAAUAACUCCCCGAAAGGGGUGCUAAUACCGGAUAAUGUCUUCGGACCAAAGAUUUAUCGCCUUUGGAUGGGCCCGCGUUGGAUUAGCUAGUUGGUAGGGUAAAAGCCUACCAAGGCGACGAUCCAUAGCUGGUCUGAGAGGAUGAUCAGCCACACUGGGACUGAGACACGGCCCAGACCCCUACGGGAGGCAGCAGUGGGGAAUAUUGGACAAUGGGCGAAAGCCUGAUCCAGCAAUGCCGCGUGAGUGAUGAAGGCCUUAGGGUUGCAAAGCUCUUUUACCCGGGAUGAUAAUGACAGUACCGGGAGAAUAAGCUCCGGCUAACUCCGUG